This is a long non-coding RNA of Etheostoma cragini (Arkansas darter), 916 nucleotides long. RefSeq lists it as uncharacterized. Lineage: Eukaryota; Metazoa; Chordata; Actinopteri; Perciformes; Percidae. The record is from RefSeq and is a predicted model, not a curated record. The transcript has 2 exons.
GAAUCCCGACGUGUUUUUUUACGUAUUGCGUCAUCAGUGUGGGCGUUGCUCCCUUUCUUUCACUGUCUAUGGUUGCUCCCACAACAACAUGCGUCGUAGGCGGACCGAGGGUACUCACGAGCCAAGUGACAGCGGAGACGGUUAACCAGCUAUAACAACAGGGCCUACUUAGUCACUACAGUUGUCUCAACACAAUAUUGAAGGUUUUUGUGACAGUCAGAGAAAAAAUAAGCUCGUUAAGUGACGUUUUUCUCACUUGAGGGUGUCUGGUUUCCUCAGUCCGAGGGAUUGCGAUGCCCUCUGACUUUAUCUCCCUUUUCAGCGGGGACCUCGACCUGAAUUCUCCCAGAUCCUUGUACUCAAAAGAAUCAGCGUAUGACCUUCUUCCCAGAGAGCUACAGUUGCCUUCCACCACUCAGCUGAGCCCAAAAGUCAUGAGUCAAAAAAGUGGCGGAGAGGCAGGGCCUCCCCCUUCAGCUGCUCUAGCAUCAGGUAGGAUCCUGCUUUAUUUCUCCUCUGCGAGCAGGACUGAUCAUGCCCCACCCCGAAAACACAACUUAUGUAACAGUCUGUAUCCAUAGAAAAAUAAACUUCUGCUUAUGACAGAAAAGCCUGUCAGACAACCAGCCUGCUGCUCUGUGAUCCUCACGUCAGGCCCCCCCAAAAAAGAAAGAAAACUACUUAAAAUGAACUUGCGGCCUUGGAGAUGCCAUCUAUCUGUACCUGCUUGUGAAAUAUUGUGUCAGUGGGAGUGUUGUUGUGAAUACUUGUGAUCUGCUGUAUGUAGGGGUCUCUUGCAGCAACAGUGUUAAAAUGUGGGUCAUUAAAAUAGAUUAAUGGUUUAAACCGUACACGGAACCCGAUAAUGAUGAGAAAGCCCUAAAGAGCUCAUUAUUUUAAAAUAGUUGCAUACGCA